UUAAGUUAUUAAGGGCGCACGGUGGAUGCCUUGGCACUAGAAGCCGAUGAAGGACGUUACUAACGACGAUAUGCUUUGGGGAGCUGUAAGUAAGCUUUGAUCCAGAGAUUUCCGAAUGGGGAAACCCAGCAUGAGUUAUGUCAUGUUAUCGAUAUGUGAAUACAUAGCAUAUCAGAAGGCACACCCGGAGAACUGAAACAUCUUAGUACCCGGAGGAAGAAAAAGAAAAUUCGAUUCCCUUAGUAGCGGCGAGCGAAACGGGAAGAGCCCAAACCAACAAGCUUGCUUGUUGGGGUUGUAGGACACUCUAUACGGAGUUACAAAGGACGACAUUAGACGAAUCAUCUGGAAAGAUGAAUCAAAGAAGGUAAUAAUCCUGUAGUCGAAAAUGUUGUCUCUCUUGAGUGGAUCCUGAGUACGACGGAACACGUGAAAUUCCGUCGGAAUCUGGGAGGACCAUCUCCUAAGGCUAAAUACUCUCUAGUGACCGAUAGUGAACCAGUACCGUGAGGGAAAGGUGAAAAGCACCCCGGAAGGGGAGUGAAAUAGAACCUGAAACCGUGUGCUUACAAGUAGUCAGAGCCCGUUAAUGGGUGAUGGCGUGCCUUUUGUAGAAUGAACCGGCGAGUUACGAUUUGAUGCAAGGUUAAGCAGUAAAUGUGGAGCCGUAGCGAAAGCGAGUCUGAAUAGGGCGUUUAGUAUUUGGUCGUAGACCCGAAACCAGGUGAUCUACCCUUGGUCAGGUUGAAGUUCAGGUAACACUGAAUGGAGGACCGAACCGACUUACGUUGAAAAGUGAGCGGAUGAACUGAGGGUAGCGGAGAAAUUCCAAUCGAACCUGGAGAUAGCUGGUUCUCUCCGAAAUAGCUUUAGGGCUAGCCUCAAGUGAUGAUUAUUGGAGGUAGAGCACUGUUUGGACGAGGGGCCCCUCUCGGGUUACCGAAUUCAGACAAACUCCGAAUGCCAAUUAAUUUAACUUGGGAGUCAGAACAUGGGUGAUAAGGUCCGUGUUCGAAAGGGAAACAGCCCAGACCACCAGCUAAGGUCCCAAAAUAUAUGUUAAGUGGAAAAGGAUGUGGCGUUGCCCAGACAACUAGGAUGUUGGCUUAGAAGCAGCCAUCAUUUAAAGAGUGCGUAAUAGCUCACUAGUCGAGUGACACUGCGCCGAAAAUGUACCGGGGCUAAACAUAUUACCGAAGCUGUGGAUUGUCCUUUGGACAAUGGUAGGAGAGCGUUCUAAGGGCGUUGAAGCAUGAUCGUAAGGACAUGUGGAGCGCUUAGAAGUGAGAAUGCCGGUGUGAGUAGCGAAAGACGGGUGAGAAUCCCGUCCACCGAUUGACUAAGGUUUCCAGAGGAAGGCUCGUCCGCUCUGGGUUAGUCGGGUCCUAAGCUGAGGCCGACAGGCGUAGGCGAUGGAUAACAGGUUGAUAUUCCUGUACCACCUAUAAUCGUUUUAAUCGAUGGGGGGACGCAGUAGGAUAGGCGAAGCGUGCGAUUGGAUUGCACGUCUAAGCAGUAAGGCUGAGUAUUAGGCAAAUCCGGUACUCGUUAAGGCUGAGCUGUGAUGGGGAGAAGACAUUGUGUCUUCGAGUCGUUGAUUUCACACUGCCGAGAAAAACCUCUAGAUAGAAAAUAGGUGCCCGUACCGCAAACCGACACAGGUAGUCAAGAUGAGAAUUCUAAGGUGAGCGAGCGAACUCUCGUUAAGGAACUCGGCAAAAUGACCCCGUAACUUCGGGAGAAGGGGUGCUCUUUAGGGUUAACGCCCAGAAGAGCCGCAGUGAAUAGGCCCAAGCGACUGUUUAUCAAAAACACAGGUCUCUGCUAAACCGUAAGGUGAUGUAUAGGGGCUGACGCCUGCCCGGUGCUGGAAGGUUAAGAGGAGUGGUUAGCUUCUGCGAAGCUACGAAUCGAAGCCCCAGUAAACGGCGGCCGUAACUAUAACGGUCCUAAGGUAGCGAAAUUCCUUGUCGGGUAAGUUCCGACCCGCACGAAAGGCGUAACGAUUUGGGCACUGUCUCAACGAGAGACUCGGUGAAAUCAUAGUACCUGUGAAGAUGCAGGUUACCCGCGACAGGACGGAAAGACCCCGUGGAGCUUUACUGUAGCCUGAUAUUGAAAUUCGGCACAGCUUGUACAGGAUAGGUAGGAGCCUUUGAAACGUGAGCGCUAGCUUACGUGGAGGCGCUGGUGGGAUACUACCCUAGCUGUGUUGGCUUUCUAACCCGCACCACUUAUCGUGGUGGGAGACAGUGUCAGGCGGGCAGUUUGACUGGGGCGGUCGCCUCCUAAAAGGUAACGGAGGCGCUCAAAGGUUCCCUCAGAAUGGUUGGAAAUCAUUCAUAGAGUGUAAAGGCAUAAGGGAGCUUGACUGCGAGACCUACAAGUCGAGCAGGGUCGAAAGACGGACUUAGUGAUCCGGUGGUUCCGCAUGGAAGGGCCAUCGCUCAACGGAUAAAAGCUACCCCGGGGAUAACAGGCUUAUCUCCCCCAAGAGUUCACAUCGACGGGGAGGUUUGGCACCUCGAUGUCGGCUCAUCGCAUCCUGGGGCUGUAGUCGGUCCCAAGGGUUGGGCUGUUCGCCCAUUAAAGCGGUACGCGAGCUGGGUUCAGAACGUCGUGAGACAGUUCGGUCCCUAUCCGUCGUGGGCGUAGGAAAUUUGAGAGGAGCUGUCCUUAGUACGAGAGGACCGGGAUGGACAUACCUCUGGUGUACCAGUUGUCGUGCCAACGGCAUAGCUGGGUAGCUAUGUGUGGACGGGAUAAGUGCUGAAAGCAUCUAAGCAUGAAGCCCCCCUCAAGAUGAGAUUUCCCAACUUCGGUUAUAAGAUCCCUCAAAGAUGAUGAGGUUAAUAGGUUCGAGGUGGAAGCAUGGUGACAUGUGGAGCUGACGAAUACUAAUCGAUCGAAGACUUAAUCAA
This 2921-nucleotide ribosomal RNA is filed under the name Staphylococcus aureus F77709. RNAcentral describes it as "bacterial LSU rRNA". It matches the Rfam family "Bacterial large subunit ribosomal RNA". Lineage: Bacteria; Bacillati; Bacillota; Bacilli; Caryophanales; Staphylococcaceae. The record is from RNAcentral.